Molecule: small nucleolar RNA, 204 nt
Filed under: Echinops telfairi (small Madagascar hedgehog)
Lineage: Eukaryota; Metazoa; Chordata; Mammalia; Afrosoricida; Tenrecidae
Description: Small nucleolar RNA U3 (ENSETEG00000025570.1)
Rfam family: Small nucleolar RNA U3
About the family: Small nucleolar RNAs (snoRNAs) are involved in the processing and modification of rRNA in the nucleolus. There are two main classes of snoRNAs: the box C/D class, and the box H/ACA class.
Source: RNAcentral
AAGACUAUAUUUUCAGGUUCAUUUCUAUAGUUUAUUCCUAGUUGCUUCUCAGUGGGUAGCUCACUGGAAGCCACAGGCAAGAAAUACAGCCUCCUCUCAGGUGUGUGGUGAAUUUGGCUCGUGGUGUCUUGGUAGAGCUGCCAUUGGCCGCUGAUGGUCAUUCAUUCAUUCUUCUCUUUCUCUUGGAGAUAGCAGUCUGAGUGC